Molecule: long non-coding RNA, 203 nt
Organism: Lagenorhynchus albirostris (white-beaked dolphin)
Lineage: Eukaryota; Metazoa; Chordata; Mammalia; Artiodactyla; Delphinidae
Exons: 3
Source: RefSeq, a predicted model, not a curated record
AAUCGUUGCAAUGGGCUGACUUAAGUGUUCCACCGACGUCACGAAUCCUGUGGUUUCAUCUAUGUGUUAAGAGCUUGGAGAGCAAAAACAGAUGCUGGAGAUGACUUCAGCUCCUGUUGUCAUCAAGAUUGUCUGCUGCUUCCUUGUGUGGAAAGAGACCAAGAUGCCCUCGAGGUGCUUUCAGCAUCUUCCACCCUCAUGAG